CGGGGUGUAGCGCAGCGGCAGCGCGCUUGGUUUGGGACCAAGAGGUCGCCAGUUCAAUCCUGGCCACCCCGACCA
Molecule: transfer RNA, 75 nt
Filed under: Dehalococcoidia bacterium
Lineage: Bacteria; Bacillati; Chloroflexota; Dehalococcoidia
Description: tRNA-Pro
Rfam family: tRNA
About the family: Transfer RNA (tRNA) molecules are approximately 80 nucleotides in length. Their secondary structure includes four short double-helical elements and three loops (D, anti-codon, and T loops).
Source: RNAcentral